RNAcentral lists this ribosomal RNA (818 nucleotides) under Coomansus gerlachei. Its description in RNAcentral is "SSU rRNA". It matches the Rfam family "Eukaryotic small subunit ribosomal RNA", at positions 96 to 919 of the family's 1831-position model. Lineage: Eukaryota; Metazoa; Nematoda; Enoplea; Mononchida; Mononchidae. The record is from RNAcentral.
GCUCGGUAUAACAGCCGCUGUUUAUUAGAUCUUAGUUAUCUACUUGGAUAACUCUGGCAAUUCUAGAGCUAAUACAUGCACGCAGUCUCGGACCUUCGGGAAAGAGCGCAUUUAUUAGAACAAAACCAAUCGAGCUUCGGCUUGUUUAUUGGUGACUCUGAAUAACUUAGUUAAUCGCAUGGUCUUAGUACCGGCGAUGUAUCUUUCAAAUGUCUGCCUUAUCAACUUUCGACGGUAGGUUAUACGCCUACCGUGGUUAUAACGGGUAACGGAGAAUAAGGGUUCGACUCCGGAGAGGGGGCUUGAGAAAUGGCCACCACAUCCAAGGAAGGCAGCAGGCGCGCAAAUUACCCAAUCCCAGAACGGGGAGGUAGUGACGAAAAAUAACGAGACAGUCCACUAUGUGGCCUGUCAUCGGAAUGGGUACAGUUUAAACUUCUUAACGAGGAUCUAUUAGAGGGCAAGUCUGGUGCCAGCAGCCGCGGUAAUUCCAGCUCUAAUAGCGUAUAUUAAAGUUGUUGUGGUUAAAACGCCCGUAGUUGGAUCUUCGGUCUUGAAGCUCGGUAAUUCGUAAGAAUUUAACUGAGUCUUCUGGCCUAAAUUUUAGUUUUCCCCUGAUGCUCUUUAUUGAGUGUCUUGGGUAGCUGGAACGUUUACUUUGAAAAAAUUAGAGUGCUAAAAGCAGGCUAUAUGCUUGAAUAAAGUGCAUGGAAUAAUGGAAUAGGACUUUAGUCUCAUUUUGUUGGUUUUCGAAAUUAAAGUAAUGAUUAAGAGGAACAGACGGGGGCAUUCGUAUUGUUGCGUUAGAGGUGAAAUUC